UACGUAGGGUGCGAGCGUUAAUCGGAAUUACUCGGCGUAAAGCGUGCGCAGGCGGCUUUGCAAGACAGAUGUGAAAUCCCCGGGCUCAACCUGGGAACUGCAUUUGUGACUGCAAGGCUAGAGUACGGCAGAGGGGGAUGGAAUUCCGCGUGUAGCAGUGAAAUGCGUAGAUAUGCGGAGGAACACCAAUGGCGAAGGCAAUCCCCUGGGCCUGUACUGACGCUCAUGCACGAAAGCGUGGGGAGCAAACAGG
This 253-nucleotide ribosomal RNA is filed under the name uncultured bacterium. RNAcentral describes it as "partial 16S ribosomal RNA". It matches the Rfam family "Bacterial small subunit ribosomal RNA", at positions 524 to 776 of the family's 1533-position model. The record is from RNAcentral.